AAACAGAAAGAGCUGCACUUAGAAUCCACUUACAAGUAUAGACCUUAGGAUGUCUUCAGCUGCAAGUGGUAGAAAAUCCUAACUGGCAUUGAUACAAAUAAUAAGGGGCUUAAUAUUUCACGUAAGAAGCACCCAAGGAGGGCAGCUCUAGGCCCAUCAGGGCGUCAGCGCAUUUCUGUGAUUUUCAUGGCUUCAUGUGUUGGUUUCAUCCUGAGACUGGCUGCAAGAUGGCUGUAGCAACCACUGACGAAUUGUGUGGACAGAACAGGGGCUGCUGAUCAUGGUGCAGAAGUUGCCCCAAGGACAUCUUCUCAAGUCCCAUUGGCCAGAAUAGGGAUAUAUGCCCUCCCUUGAACCAGCCACCUACGAGGAGAAUGGGAUUGCCACGAUGAGCUCAGUCUUAGGAUGUCUACCUCCUGCGUACUUCCCGAGCGUGUCCAGAGUGAGUUGAGAUGAUCAGCUCUACUGCCCCCACCACCCCCGAAUACAGACCCGGGGAGAGCCUGUGCCAGCUCACACGGGACUAAUCAGACCUAAGACAAUUUUUAGACCCAGGACCCAUUGAUGAAUAGAAAGCCUGAGUCCAAAGGGAGAAGACUGCUGAGCAAUCACAGACAAUGCAGAGAAUCCCCAUCAGCAAGAAGGCCCUCACCAGACAUCACCCCUCGACUUUGGUCUUCUCAGUCUCUGGAACUAUAAGA
Molecule: long non-coding RNA, 701 nt
Filed under: Papio anubis (olive baboon)
Lineage: Eukaryota; Metazoa; Chordata; Mammalia; Primates; Cercopithecidae
Description: lncRNA (ENSPANG00000049612.1)
Source: RNAcentral